Molecule: long non-coding RNA, 2161 nt
Organism: Manihot esculenta (cassava)
Lineage: Eukaryota; Viridiplantae; Streptophyta; Magnoliopsida; Malpighiales; Euphorbiaceae
Exons: 5
Source: RefSeq, a predicted model, not a curated record
UGAUCAGCUGCCCUCCUCUAUUACCUCAUCCCAAAGCCUUGUGUUGGCAUUUGGCAAUUAAGAUAGAGCACAUUCACUUUGCAUGUUCCCUUGUAUAUACAAUCUUAGAUUUUCUUUUUGAUUUUUCUUCUUAUUGAAUCUCAGUUCCAUGUUUGAACUAGAUGAGUUACCAUUGAUACUAUGAGAAUGCUAUAAAUCUAAUUUGGCAGUUCUUGUGAGUACAGUGAACGUCGAUUGAGCUUGCUGGUGAAAAGAUGACGUACUUUGCAGGCUGGCAUACAUGCUUAAUCUCUUAUUAACAGAGACAAGUGCUUAAAAUAUUCCUUUGACCCCCAUAAGAGUUAUCAAACAAAAUCUAUGUUUUGAUUUUGUUUGGAGGAUGAAAAUUUUUAGCAGACUGCUAGCAAAAAAUUUAUGAUGUAAAGGUUGGCAGGCAUCCGUUAUCCUUUCUUUCAAUGCACGAAAGACAUAUAGUUCUAGGUAUUCUAUCACUGCACGAAAGAUAUAUAGUUUUAAGUAGCAAGGAUUGCUAUGAAAAAGGGAAAAGAUUCGCAGGAGAAAAAGGGAGUAACAAGAUUGGAAGGGCUUGUAGGUCUUGAGAGAGUUCAUCAGACCUUCAACUGAUCCAGCUGCAGCAACAAGUGAUACCACCAAGCAGGCGAGACUCAAUAUUUUCAGCCAUGUCCAUGUGAAAGAGAACUUUGGCAUUUUUGUGCGUGCUAUGUACAUCUCUAUCGGAAAGUACACUGUCAAUGGCCAGAAUGCAGCUGCUCCGAUGAGACCCAAGAAGUCAUUGAAGAAUGGGAAGAUCAUGGCUACCACAGCAGUCACUAUAACGUACAGUGUCCUCCACACUAAUCUGAAUGAGUUGAGCUCCUCUCCACAAAACUGAAGAUUGGCUGGCAGAAAACCUGGAAGGCAUUUGAAUCACUUUAGAAUGACAAUCAAAGCAGUGCGUAGUGACUAGAACGCGUCGUCUUAUUCACCUGGUAGGCACCAAUGAGGUGAACAGCAAUGCAAACAUUGGCAAAAUCGAUCAGCCAAAAAGGUUCAUAAAAUCCAAAACCUGUGAGGAAAUUGCCAGGAGCAUCAUUUCCAAAUGCUGCAUAACCAACACAACCACAUAGGACGUAGAACAGGGUGGUUGUCAGGAUGCCGACAAAGGAUGCUUUCUUCAUAGCUUUGUUCUCAGGAGGACUUGAUUUGACUGUAUCCUGUAAUUCAUGUCUUUAUCAGCUUAGUAGAUUCUUGUGAGAGUAGACCUAACAAGAAAUGCUACAUGUUAAUGUAAGGUAAAUCCACCAUUCCAAGUCCUUUCGGAUUACGUUAUGCAUCCAAAAUGUUCACAAAGGAGAAAAAGAAAUGGGCAUAUAUGAGGGUGUCUAGUGAAAAAUAAAACCAGCCUGUAGAUGAGACAAACUUUAGCAGCGAAUACCAUGAUUAGUUGCUCAGGAGAUGAUGCAAGAAAGGGACAGGUAGAAAGGCUACAAGGUGGGCUUUCACUUCUUUCCAAAAAGGCAAAUGCGUUCAUUUAGCCCAAAAUUUUGAUUGUGGUCCUCCAUAUUUUGAUAUGGUCCACGAAGAAUCUCUAGAAGGCUAUAACCGUAGACUCCACUUCCAGGAAAGAGUCACCCUCAGUUCAUUCGUCCCAAGCUUUCCUUUUAUUUGAAAAUUUUGGAGUCUACGUACGGCUGCAUUGGUCCUUAUCAGAACAGUGCAGCCACUCGAUUAACAAGAAAUGCCACAUACAUUGUUCUGGAAAUGCAGAGGACAGAAGAUCAAUGAUCAGAUAUGCAACUUGCCAAUUUUAUCACUAGCCUGCUAGUACUGGUAGGCGUAGGACCCCUCAGAGAAGGCCGUAGAGUCUGACUGGAAUGGAAUGGCUAGUGGCCAAUUCACUCGAAAACUGCCAGUAUCUGUGACUGACUGUAAUAUCUAUAGUUGUGGGGUCCAUGAUGUAAUAAAUAUGAUUUGUCAACCUCACUAAGUGUGUGUUUGCCAUUUAAUUUGAGGGCUCAAAUUGUGUGUUUUCUUUUUAUUAGAAAAAGCAUCAUUUUAGAAGCUGUUCAGAAAAGCAGUUUAAGAAAACCUGAUUUGUUAUUUCUAAAUUAUAUUAAAAAUAAUUUUAAAUUAUUAUUUAAUAUUUUAUAAGCAAUAUUUU